GUUGAAACACCGAUUCCCGUACGAUCAUCGAAGUUAAGCAACGUCGAUCCUAGUCUAUUCCUAGAUGGGUGACCUCUUGGGAAUACCAGGUCCUGUAAG
Molecule: non-coding RNA, 99 nt
Organism: Acanthosepion pharaonis
Lineage: Eukaryota; Metazoa; Mollusca; Cephalopoda; Sepiida; Sepiidae
Source: the annotation of a GenBank genome assembly